CCCUUAGAUGUUCUGGGCCGCACGCGCGCUACACUGAUGCAUUCAACGAGUUUCUUCCUGGUCCGAGAGGAAUGGGUAACCUUUUGAAAGUGCAUCGUGAUAGGGAUAGACUAUUGCAAUUAUUGGUCUUCAACGAGGAAUUCCUAGUAGACGUAGUUCAUCAGACUGCAUCGAUUACGUCCCUGCCCUUUGUACACACCGCCCGUCGCUCCUACCGAUUGAAUGUUCCGGUGAGCUCUUCGGACUGCGCGGUCUGCAGUUUCUGCGUUCCGUGCGGAAAGUUGCGCAAACCUUAACAUUUAGAGGAAGGAGAAGUCGUAACA
RNAcentral lists this ribosomal RNA (323 nucleotides) under uncultured eukaryote. RNAcentral describes it as "partial 18S ribosomal RNA". It matches the Rfam family "Eukaryotic small subunit ribosomal RNA", at positions 1470 to 1796 of the family's 1831-position model. The record is from RNAcentral.